AAUAAAUUGUUUGCUUUAUUUCGUAAACAUUGUUAUUGUUGGGAAAAGAAAUAUUUCCUGCAUGCACUAACAGUGACAUUUGUAAUAUAUUUGGUAUCUGUGCCGUCCUUUGAGUAUUCUUCGGUGGGGCUGAUUUUCCUUAUUUUUCACUCCUGCAACAAUAUUGUACACCGUUUUUGUUUCAAUGCUGUUCCUAAUAAAAUGUACGAAAUUGCAAGUGCACUCGAAAAUAAAAGCACUUUUAUGCGCUCAGAGAACAAUUAAUGUCGCCUGCUCGUUGAAAUCGUUGCUGGAAUUAUUGUGUGCAAUUAGAAAUAAGCUUCUUUAAUACUUUACAGAAAAUAAUUUUGCAUAAAUAUAUGCGCCGUAUAUUUCUUUCCGGCGAUGUGUACCCACACGUCGCAUUUAUGGCGCAAGAAAACUUUCCGCAACUUGACCAAGUCAGCUUGGGCAACGGUCCACUGCUGAAAGAGCGGCGCACGCUCGAUGCUGGCCUUAGCGGACCGUAGUGGACGACUACACGGCGGUUACUGGUACUAGAUGUAGAUAAAACGAAUCAUCGCGCUAACAUUCACAGUAACUGCUACAAACUACCGCAAGCUACCCACUUUGGUGGCGAACCAGCACCCAAAUUUAUGUACUCGCGAGGUCAUCGAUAACGCCUCCCGAGCCGUCGCAGUCACAAUGGUAAAUUUUUUUUAAUAUUGCGAAUUGACGCCUUUCCGGUAAUACAGAUAGCAAGAACUUACGCUAUGCGGUGAAAUAACCUGCAGAACCCGCACAGCGUAGGCGCAGGACUGCAACACGUUUCAGGUUUUGCGCUACAAACAUCUCUCGGAGGCGACAUCAAGGGCCUCAAAAGGAGCCGUCAUCUGAGCCCACUACCCCUAUUCUAGCAAACUGUAGUCAAAUGCAGCGAAUGCAACGACGCCGUUUCCGAAGCGCACAGAGUUGCCAGAUCACACGCGCGCAGAUAUGGUGGCUAGAAAGCAUAGCGCAGGCUCCCAGCUCCCGACAGUACCGGAAAGUUGCUGUAUAACCCGCGCGCGUUCGAAUCGCUUGCUUGUUGUGGGCCCUGUUCUCCGACGGUACGAAGCGCUUUCUUUCGCUGCACACGCUGUGGCUGGUCCGCUCGGGACGAGGCUUUCGCUGGAUCUGAAACUGAAACGCGUCGCAUAACACCCAGGGCGCGAUAUUUCGCUGCGCGCUUUCGCUGCAGCGGUAGAAAUGGGUUGCAUCGCCUUGCCUUGCACAGGCAGUCUUCUGGGGCUUGCGCUGCUCGUAAUUAUACACUUUUCUGAAACAGAGACGCGCGUCGCAUAACACUCGGGGCGCUUUAAUUCGCUGCGCGCGAUCGCUGCAACGGGGCAAAGUGUUUGCUGUGCCUUUAUCUGCGUAAAGAAUUUUUCCGAAACGCGACGCGAAACCCCCGGGGCUUUUUUUUUUCUGGUUACGCGCGCGGUUUCCACCGCAAGUGCGUCGCGCGCCGGCGCGGAUCUAUCGCUACGUACCUGCAAGUUCACCUGCAUGCUUUUGCUUCUUGUCUGUCACCACGCGAGGGCUACAGCUUAAGCGUCUUUAGAACUUUCAGUCGUCACAGCUGCGUAAUGAUUGUAUUGCGAGCAGCGUAAGCCCCAGAAGACUGCCUGUGCAAUGCAAGGCGAUGCAACCCUUUUCUACCGUUGUAGCGAGAGCGCGCAGCGAUAUGUCGCGCCCCGAGUGUUAUGCGACGCGUCUGUUUCAGAUCGUUCUCGAUCACUUGUGCAUCAUUAAUCGAGCUCAGCUUGACCCUUGGCCCACUACUCAAUCAGGCUUGAAGCUUUCGAUGUCUGCUAAUCAAUAGAACAGCACCAGAUCUCGCUUUGUGUCAUGAGGAGGCACACAUUUGCUUAGAUCUGGGCAGAUGCAUGUCUUUCUUCUGCAUUGAAGUUCCCAAUACUUUCUAGUCUUAGGUGAAAGUGUACAGCUCAGCACAAUGCAUGCACGGUAUACAUAAGGCUGCUUUGUCAGCAAGAAGCAGCUACUGCCGUUCUUGCAAACCCUACCGUAUUUCCUAACCAUUCCUUGAUCAAAAGUGUAUAAAAUGAAUCUGUACUUGUUCUAUUGUUUCACAGAUAGACAUCGGUGAUGGUGUAUAUGUUGAAAAGGGACUGCUGAAGAAGCUGCGCCUGGAUCCUAACAAUUCAGGCUUGCAGUCUGCGGUUUCGCUCGUUAAAGCUCUUCUUACAAAAGAUGUUGAAGGCAGGUCCUUCUUUGGGCGGCCGUCAAAUGCCUUCCACAGAAGGAUCCGUUGGAUUCCAAGGUCAACACCACACUCAACUCCACAACGCAACAUUUCGGUGUACUUCCAGGGCAGCUGAACAACUCGUUAUCCUCAUUACUAGCUCGGGGAUAUUAAAUGGAUGUAUUCAAGCA
RNAcentral lists this long non-coding RNA (2415 nucleotides) under Dermacentor andersoni. Its description in RNAcentral is "uncharacterized LOC126516269". The record is from RNAcentral. Lineage: Eukaryota; Metazoa; Arthropoda; Arachnida; Ixodida; Ixodidae.